AAUGGGGAGAUUCAUCGUCAGCUCAUUUUGUAUAUGUUUGAGUUAUGAUGCGAGUUACUCNUUGUAGUAUUGCUUGCACAUACUUUUACAUUUAUUUGCAAGAUGUUGUCGGCGUGCACUUCUCCCCUAGUAGAACGUCGCGACCCGUUGGGUGUCGGUCUACGACCNGAGUNGGUAGACUUNUAAUAUUUUNAUAAUAUUAAAGACCCUUGGUGUUUUCUGACCGGCUGCCCGGCGGUACUCGUACGGUAUUUAG
RNAcentral lists this ribosomal RNA (256 nucleotides) under Heterospilus sp. MAS-2010. RNAcentral describes it as "partial 28S ribosomal RNA". The record is from RNAcentral. Lineage: Eukaryota; Metazoa; Arthropoda; Insecta; Hymenoptera; Braconidae.